Molecule: RNA transcript, 6030 nt
Organism: Ctenopharyngodon idella (grass carp)
Lineage: Eukaryota; Metazoa; Chordata; Actinopteri; Cypriniformes; Xenocyprididae
Gene: fermt2
Gene name: FERM domain containing kindlin 2
Exons: 20
Source: RefSeq, a predicted model, not a curated record
GGCGGGCGCGAGGAGAGAGAGAGAGUGUGUGUGUGAGGGAGAGAGAACGGCCACUGGACUCCAUUAACGCAAAACCCUUCAGGAGCUCCGUCGCUGGACUUUGGCGAUUUUUCUUUUCUCGGGAACCUUCCUCAUGAUAGGAUUAAAUACGCGGCUGAAGGAAAGAAAACGCGCAGACUGUUGAAGUUCUGGGAAGUGAACUGGUGUUUUGUGGAUUUGCUUCGGCGUAUUUGUGAAGGAUGGCGUUGGACGGUAUACGGAUGCCGGAUGGCUGCUACGCGGAUGGGACAUGGGAACUGAAGAUGCAUGUGACGGACCUCAACCGGGAUGUGUCUCUCCGAGUCACCGGGGAAAUUCACAUCGGCGGUGUGAUGCUCAAACUCGUGGAGAAACUUGAUGUGAAGAAGGACUGGUCAGAUCAUGCACUGUGGUGGGAAAAGAAGAAGACCUGGCUGCUAAAGACCCACUGGACGCUUGAUAAAUAUGGCAUUCAGGCCGACGCCAGGCUGCUCUUCACACCGCAGCACAAGCUGCUGCGCCUGCAGCUGCCCAACAUGAAACACAUGAGGGUGAAGGUCAACUUCUCUGACCGUGUCUUCAAGGCCGUGUCUGACAUCUGCAAAACCUUCAACAUCAGGCAUCCUGAGGAGCUCUCCUUACUGCGCAAACCCCGCGACCCCAAGAAGAAGAAGAAAAAGCUGGAGGAGGCAGAGGAGGAGGCACUGGAGCUGGAAGGACCGCUGCUCACUCCUGGAUCAGCCUCUGAGAUACUAUACAUUGGACCGGUAAAAGGGAGCAUCUAUUCUAGUCCUGGACUUUACAGCAAGACCAUGACACCUACCUAUGACUCUCGGGACGGCAGCCCUCUGUCCCCCACCUCAGCAUGGUUUGGAGACAGUCCGCUGUCCGAAGGCAAUCCCGGCAUCCUCGCUGUCAGCCAGCCCAUCACCUCACCAGACAUUGUGGUCAAGAUGUACAAACCACAGUCCCUCCUGGACAAGGCCAAGAUCAACCAGGGGUGGCUGGACUCCUCCAGAUCACUGAUGGAGCAGGAUGUGAAGGAGAACGAGGUUCUUCUGCUCCGGUUCAAGUAUCACAGCUUCUUUGACCUCAACCCAAAGUAUGAUGCCAUCAGGGUGAACCAGCUCUAUGAACAGGCCAAGUGGGCCAUCUUACUGGAGGAAAUCGAAUGCACCGAGGAAGAGAUGAUGAUGUUCGCCGCCCUGCAGUACCACAUCAACAAGCUGUCCAUCAUGUCCUCAGAGAAUCACAUGAACAACAGUGAGAAGGAGGUGGAUGAGGUCGAUGCAGCUCUCUCAGACCUGGAGAUCACCCUGGAGGGAGGAAAGACGUCCAACACGCUGGGUGACAUCACAUCCAUUCCUGAACUGGCCGACAAUGUAAAAGUCUUCAAACCAAAGAAGCUCACUCUGAAAGGAUACAAGCAGUACUGGUGCACGUUCAAGGACAUCACAAUCUCCUGCUACAAGAGCCGCGAGGAGGCCCACGGCACGCCGGCGCACCAGAUGAACCUGAGAGGCUGUGAAGUCACACCAGAUGUGAACAUCUCCGGUCAGAAAUUCAACAUCAAGUUGCUAAUUCCUGUAGCAGAUGGUAUGAAUGAGAUCUGGCUGCGGUGUGAUACUGAGAAGCAGUACGCUCAGUGGAUGGCAGCUUGUCGUUUGGCCUCCAAGGGGAAGACGAUGGCAGACAGUUCCUACAACUUGGAGGUCCAGAACAUUCUGUCCUUCCUGAAGAUGCAGCACAUGAACCCUGAUCCUCAGAUCAUAGAGCCCAUCACCACCGACAUCAACCCUGAGUGUCUGGUGUCACCACGAUACCUGAAGAAAUACAGGAACAAGCAGCCAGGCUUUGUCAGGGACUUGGUAAGUCACUCGUUUGACAGCUGGUAAAUGUCCGUGACUCACUAACACUGGUGCUGUGUCUUACUCCAGUAAUCCUUCCAUUAACCACUUUACCAUUUAUUGCUGUAGCUCAACCCAAAAGCUCACAUUUCAAGUUUGUUUUUAACAUUUAAAGAUCAUGUUUUGAGUCACUGGUGUCUCCGCUAGAACAGCUGUUUGCCUGACUGAUGUUGAGUGUGUGACUGCUGUAAAAGCUUUCAUUUCGUGAAUAUUUUAGAAAAAUUCACAAAACUGUCAGUCUUAUUUUAUAUAAUUUCAAGCAUGAUUAUAUCCCUAAAUAUAAUAAUAUCAUUAUUAUUAUCAUUAUUAUUAGUAUUGCAAUUAUUGUUUUGUGAUAUUAGUUUAGAUGACACUGUGCUGUUUUCUACAGCCCCUAAAGGGACAUGGUGACAGUAAGAAAAGAGAUGGGAGGAAAAAUUACACUCAAAUGUUUUUUGAGCAAAUGCAGAGUUUCUUGGGGAAACUCAAUAGUUUUGUGUGAGAAUGUAAAGAUUUUUGGGGAAAAGCAAUAGUUUUGUGUGAGAAUGUAAAGAUUUUUGGGGAAAAGCAAUAGUUUUGCGUGAGAAUGUAAAGGUUUUUGGGGGAAAGCAAUAGUUUUGUGUGAGAAUGUAAAGGUUUUUGGGGGAAACUCAAUAGUUUUGUGUGAGAAUGUAAAGGUUUUUGGGGGAAACUCAAUAGUUUUGCGUGAGAAUGUAAAGGUUUUUGGGGGAAAGCAAUAGUUUUGCGUGAGAAUGUAAAGGUUUUUGGGGGAAACUCAAUAGUUUUGCGUGAGAAUGUAAAGGUUUUUGGGGGAAAGCAAUAGUUUUGUGUGAGAAUGUAAAGGUUUUUGGGGGAAACUCAAUAGUUUUGUGUGAGAAUGUAAAGGUUUUUGGGGGAAACUCAAUAGUUUUGCGUGAGAAUGUAAAGGUUUUUGGGGGAAAGCAAUAGUUUUGUGUGAGAAUGUAAAGGUUUUUGGGGAAAAGCAAUAGUUUUGCGUGAGAAUGUAAAGGUUUUUGGGGGAAAGCAAUAGUUUUGCGUGAGAAUGUAAAGGUUUUUGGGGGAAACUCAAUAGUUUUGCGUGAGAAUGUAAAGGUUUUUGGGGGAAACUCAAUAGUUUUGUGUGAGAAUGUAAAGAUUUUUUGGGGAAACUCAAUAGUUUUGCAUGAGAAUGUAAAGGUUUUUGGGGAAACUCAAUAGUUUUGUGUGAGAAUGUAAAGGUUUUUGGGGGAAAGCAAUAGUUUUGCGUGAGAAUGUAAAGGUUUUUGGGGGAAACUCAAUAGUUUUGUGUGAGAAUGUAAAGGUUUUUGGGGGAAACUCAAUAGUUUUGCGUGAGAAUGUAAAGGUUUUUGGGGAAAAGCAAUAGUUUUGCGUGAGAAUGUAAAGGUUUUUGGGGAAAAGCAAUAGUUUUGCGUGAGAAUGUAAAGGUUUUUGGGGGAAAGCAAUAGUUUUGUGAGAGAAUUUUAAUGUUUCAUUGGGGAAUGCAAUAGUUUUGCAUGAGAAUGUAAAGUUUUUGGGGGGAAUGCGAUAGUUUUGCGAGCGAAUGCAAACUUCUUUGUGGAUACGCAAUAGUUUUUCCAAGAAAAUGUAACAUUUCAUGAGGGAAUGCAAUAGUUUUGCAAGAGAAUGCAAAGUUUCUCAGAGGAGUGCAAUACUUUUCAAGCAUUAAAAUUUUUCCUUCCAUCUCUUGUUUUUUUCCAUCAACAUGUCCCCAUGGGGCUCCUGUAAUCAGCACAUUAUUUGUAUAAUAGGAUAUUUAAAAUCUUACAGAAAUAGUUAUUUGAAAGGGGCUUCUGUGUAAUUGAAAGACCGUUUUAGGCGGUUUGUAGCAUGUCAGCUGAUCUGCUCUGAUAGAAACUUUCAUGAGGCAAGUCAUUGAUCAGUGGGAGACUCCAGUGACGUCACUCAUUUCUUUAUGUGAAAAUGUUUCAUGUUGUGGGGAAAUGGGGACUAAACAGUGGUAGCUGGGAUUGCAAUGGCUUCUGUGUAUGUAUGUUAAGUCGCAUGUGUAACAGAUCAUAAGGGAUGCUUGAAUAACAGGAGGCGUCUCGUAUGUUCACUGUGAUAUUAAUGGUGAUUGGAUGCAGCAGUGUCAUAUCGAAGUGUCUGGUGUUGCAUUCUUCUCUGGGGUUGUUUCCUAAUGACUCACUCUGUACUUCUGCUUAAGUUAUGAUGGCUUGUAGCACUUGUUUAUUAAUGUUCACAUAUGCAUUAUCCUCAGAUUUCCGCCCGUAUUCUGGAAGCUCAUCAGAAUGUGGCGCAGAUGAGCCUCAUUGAGGCCAAGAUGCGCUUCAUACAGGCAUGGCAGUCCUUGCCAGAGUUUGGAAUCACCCAUUUUCUUGCCAAGUUUCAGGGGGGCAAGAAAGAUGAGCUGAUCGGCAUCACCUACAACAGACUGAUCCGUAUGGACGCCAGCACAGGAGACGCCAUCAAGACCUGGCGCUUCAGCAACAUGAAACAGUGGAACGUCAACUGGGAGAUUAAGAUGGUCACGGUGGAGUUUGCGGACGAGCCCAGUCUGGCGUUCAUCUGUGCGGAGGUGGACUGCAAAGUGGUGCACGAGUUCAUCGGCGGCUACAUUUUCUUGUCCACGCGCGCCAAGGACCAGAACGAGUCUCUAGACGAGGAGAUGUUCUACAAGCUGACCAGCGGUUGGGUCUGAGCGCCGCUCGCCGCUCCGCGCCGCUUUAUUCUUUUACUUUCACACUUCUUCUUUCUCCUUUAACCACUCCAUCGUGGCCACAUCAUAAUAGGUUGAAAACUUGUUUCUUUUAAUUCUGUUUAUGCGCAUGAACGCGUUCAUAACACUAGCCGAAGUGCCGAGCGAGGACAUUCUGAGAACGUGCAGCGGUUUACUGCUUCCCUCCAGAAAUGAUUUCAUUGUCGAGAUGAAGCAAUAGCUAUGACCUUUCACCCUGAAUAGAAGUACGCCAGCGAAAAUGCCAAUUAUUUAUUUGUCACUAACUUACGUUGCAUCUCUCUGGGUAAUUGUUGAAUGUCGCGGUGCUCAUUUGUGCCAUCUUUUAUGAUAAUUUUGUCACAUUAAUGUGAUGUCGUAGAGAAGGAUUUACACUAGCUUCAGUGUUGCUGCUUCUGACCGUUGAGUAGAAGACACUACAAAAUCCAUUCGUUCUGUCAUUUCUAAGCACUUCUAGCGUUAGGUUUGACGUUUCUGUCCUGUCAUGUGUUCAACACUACAUUUAAUGACACAGAUAUUUUUUUACACUAUGAAGAAGGAGAGUCGCCCACUUUUUUGUAGCAAACAGCUUGCGGUGAAGCAACAUAGGAGAACGUUAUGAAUCUGCUUUCCCACUGUAGGAAGUUUCUUUUUAUUAUUAUUAUUUUCCUAUGAAGUCUGAUAUUUUAUUCCUCACUCUUUAUUGUGAACCAGUAUAGUAUUAUUCAAAAGCAUUUCUUUAAUACGCACCAGCGAUAGGUCACAAAUCAUGCGAUUUUCUUUUUAUUUCUUUCCAAAAUGAAGGAUAGCUAAAUGAAGUAUUAGAUUUGUUUUGUAUCUAAUGUAAAAAACACAGGUUUUAAAACAGAAAUUGUACAGUUAUUUUGUUGCUGCUUUUUUCUGUCAUUUUUUGGAAGUGUAUUUUUUCCAGAAGAGAGGGAAAAAAAGCCAUUUUUCUGACAUUUGAGGAUUGGUGCCUGUCGAUCUUAGAAAUAUAUAUAAGUGCAUAUGAAGAAGUGGAGAACGUCUCAAGCUCCUGGCUGGAAUAAAUUCAUGUAGAUUGUGCCAUUCUUGAUGUCUCCAGUGAGAAGGAGCUUUUUUUAUUUAGUUUCUCCUGCCUUAACUGAUAAAUAUCCACUGCUGCGAGAACAUAUAGGCUUUAAGAGCGUGUGUCAUACACUUCAACACUAUCGAGCGCUCAGACACUAAUGAAGGGCAGCAGUUCUCUGCCGUCUGUAGCGCAUCACUUCUUGUCAGUAUUGUCUCAUGAUGUUUCCCGUAUGAAGGUGGUUUCAGAGCCAGAAAUGAAGACUAUUAUUAUUUUUUUCUGUUUAUUUGGUUUUGUUUUCUCAGAUGUCAGCAGUGCGUUGCAUGGCCUGCUGUUUUAAGAUUGUAAAAAUGCCAUUUACCUGACAAAUAAAUAAAUAAAAUCAUUUUUAUUUAAAAUCUUAA